GACGAGGCACUACGGUGCUGAAGCAACAAAUGCCCUGCUUCCAGGAAAAGCCUCUAAGCAUCAGGUAACACGAAAUCGUACCCCAAACCGACACAGGUGGUCAGGUAGAGAAUACCAAGGCGCUUGAGAGAACUCGGGUGAAGGAACUAGGCAAAAUGGUGCCGUAACUUCGGGAGAAGGCACGCUGACACGUAGGUGAAGUGAUUUACUCAUGGAGCUGAAGUCAGUCGAAGAUACCAGCUGGCUGCAACUGUUUAUUAAAAACACAGCACUGUGCAAACACGAAAGUGGACGUAUACGGUGUGACGCCUGCCCGGUGCCGGAAGGUUAAUUGAUGGGGUCAGCGCAAGCGAAGCUCCUGAUCGAAGCCCCGGUAAACGGCGGCCGUAACUAUAACGGUCCUAAGGUAGCGAAAUUCCUUGUCGGGUAAGUUCCGACCUGCACGAAUGGCGUAAUGAUGGCCAGGCUGUCUCCACCCGAGACUCAGUGAAAUUGAACUCGCUGUGAAGAUGCAGUGUACCCGCGGCAAGACGGAAAGACCCCGUGAACCUUUACUAUAGCUUGACACUGAACAUUGAGCCUUGAUGUGUAGGAUAGGUGGGAGGCUUUGAAGUGUGGACGCCAGUCUGCAUGGAGCCGACCUUGAAAUACCACCCUUUAAUGUUUGAUGUUCUAACGUGGACCCGUAAUCCGGGUUGCGGACAGUGUCUGGUGGGUAGUUUGACUGGGGCGGUCUCCUCCUAAAGAGUAACGGAGGAGCACGAAGGUUGGCUAAUCCUGGUCGGACAUCAGGAGGUUAGUGCAAUGGCAUAAGCCAGCUUGACUGCGAGCGUGACGGCGCGAGCAGGUGCGAAAGCAGGUCAUAGUGAUCCGGUGGUUCUGAAUGGAAGGGCCAUCGCUCAACGGAUAAAAGGUACUCCGGGGAUAACAGGCUGAUACCGCCCAAGAGUUCAUAUCGACGGCGGUGUUUGGCACCUCGAUGUCGGCUCAUCACAUCCUGGGGCUGAAGUAGGUCCCAAGGGUAUGGCUGUUCGCCAUUUAAAGUGGUACGCGAGCUGGGUUUAGAACGUCGUGAGACAGUUCGGUCCCUAUCUGCCGUGGGCGCUGGAGAACUGAGGGGGGCUGCUCCUAGUACGAGAGGACCGGAGUGGACGCAUCACUGGUGUUCGGGUUGUCAUGCCAAUGGCACUGCCCGGUAGCUAAAUGCGGAAGAGAUAAGUGCUGAAAGCAUCUAAGCACGAAACUUGCCCCGAGAUGAGUUCUCCCUGAGACUUAG
This 1276-nucleotide ribosomal RNA is filed under the name Salmonella enterica subsp. enterica. RNAcentral describes it as "partial 23S ribosomal RNA". It matches the Rfam family "Bacterial large subunit ribosomal RNA", at positions 1568 to 2824 of the family's 2925-position model. The record is from RNAcentral. Lineage: Bacteria; Pseudomonadati; Pseudomonadota; Gammaproteobacteria; Enterobacterales; Enterobacteriaceae.